This is a small nuclear RNA of Cercocebus atys (sooty mangabey), 107 nucleotides long. NCBI's taxonomy places the organism in Eukaryota, Metazoa, Chordata, Mammalia, Primates, Cercopithecidae. The record is from Ensembl.
GUGCUUGCUUUGGCAGCACAUAUGCUAAAAUCGGAACAAUACAGAAAAGAUUAGUUUGGCCCCUGCACAAGAAUGACAUGCAAACUCAUGAAGCAUUCCAUAUUUUU